Long non-coding RNA from Frieseomelitta varia, 796 nucleotides. RefSeq lists it as uncharacterized. The record is from RefSeq and is a predicted model, not a curated record. The transcript has 2 exons. NCBI's taxonomy places the organism in Eukaryota, Metazoa, Arthropoda, Insecta, Hymenoptera, Apidae.
GUAUCGAGCACUUCUUGCGGGAUAUCGCGUUACGGAACCACGAUCAAUCGUUUAAACCUAGUCUAUGACUAUAGAACGAAGGGUGCAAAUUGCAAAUCGUUGAGAAAGCUGCAUGAAACGCUGUUACUUAAUCUUUGAAAACAAGGAGCCUGAUGAUUUUAUACGGGAAUUUCUCAUGAAAUAUGUACACCCUAUUAUAAGAAACUCAUAAUAUUACAGAAUCCAUGAAAUCAUCGAAGAAUGAAGGAAUGAUAUACAAUGAAUUAAAACGUAAUUACAGUUAUAUGUAAUUGCGUUACACAAAUGUUAGCUGCAUGUUGAAGUUAUAAAAUAUAUGGAUAGGUAUAAUAAUUUUCAAAGCAAUCUUUGAAUGCAUCUUUCAGAGCAUCUUUCAGAGUCGGAGCGAAAAAUGUAGAAAUAAAUUUCUAGCAUAACGAAAAUAACGGUGUGAAAUCAAGAUAAGAAUUUGUAAUUAAUCAUCGAGCUUGAGGAAAUACUAAAGUUUAUUUCAUUUUUCUUCACUUAAUUUGUUCUUCUUUUCCAGUAACUUUACAGUUCUCAGUAUGUUACAAUAUAUUUCUACAGUGUUAAAUAUAUUAAUUAAAUCUUAAAAAUGAUGGAAAGUAAAUUGAUACUACUAUCAAUGUAAUGUUUUUUUUUUCGAUCGAAUAAGUCUUUCGAGAAAUUAUAUCCAGUUCAAUAUGUUCAACGAGUUAUUUCACAUAACCGAACAAGUCACAUCUAAUCAGUAUUCGUGAGAACACUCGUGUAAAAAUAAUGUAACUAAAUCAGUGCA